UAGGAUAUCUCAAUUCAACAUCGAGGUGAUAAACCUUGUCUUCGAUAUGGACUCUUUGACAAGAUUGUCCUGUUAUCCCUAAAGUAGCUUUUAUCUUUUGAUCAUUAAAGUUCUUUUAAAAAUUUAAUGGGUCAUUAUAACCUACGUUGUAACUGUUAAAGAAAUAUAUUAAACAGUAAGUUGAGUUAUUACUGUAGUGCGUCUCUGUUUUUUUUUAGAGACCAUCGCCCCAAUGAAACUACCUCCCUUUUAAUGGAUUCUUUUUUUUAAAGGUGUAAAAAAAAGGUAUAGUUAAGCUUUAUAGGGUCUUUUCGUCUUACAAUUUUAAAUAGCAUCUUAACUAUUAUUUUAAUUUUUUUAUUAUUUUAUAAGACAGUGAAGUUUUCGUUUAGCCAUUCAUACUAUCCACCAAUUAAGUGGCGAAUGAUUAUGCUACAUUCAUACAGUCAUAGUUACUGCAGCCAUUCAACUUUGUUUUUAUUUAACCGACGCUAUUUAAAUUUAUUUUAGUUUAAGCCAUUGGGC
Molecule: ribosomal RNA, 525 nt
Filed under: Cladocarpus sigma
Lineage: Eukaryota; Metazoa; Cnidaria; Hydrozoa; Leptothecata; Aglaopheniidae
Description: partial 16S ribosomal RNA
Source: RNAcentral